This 250-nucleotide ribosomal RNA is filed under the name uncultured prokaryote. Its description in RNAcentral is "partial 16S ribosomal RNA". It matches the Rfam family "Bacterial small subunit ribosomal RNA", at positions 524 to 773 of the family's 1533-position model. The record is from RNAcentral.
UACGUAGGUGGCAAACGUUGUCCGGAUUUACUGGGUGUAAAGGGCGCGUAGGCGGGAUGUCAAGUCAGAUGUGAAAUCUCCGGGCUCAACCCGGAAACUGCAUUUGAAACUGACGUUCUUGAGUAUCGGAGAGGCAAGCGGAAUUCCUAGUGUAGCGGUGAAAUGCGUAGAUAUUAGGAGGAACACCAGUGGCGAAGGCGGCUUGCUGGACGACAACUGACGCUGAGGCGCGAAAGUGCGGGGAUCGAAC